RNAcentral lists this ribosomal RNA (244 nucleotides) under uncultured bacterium. RNAcentral's name for it is "partial 16S ribosomal RNA". It matches the Rfam family "Bacterial small subunit ribosomal RNA", at positions 524 to 767 of the family's 1533-position model. The record is from RNAcentral.
UACGAAGGGGGCUAGCGUUGCUCGGAAUCACUGGGCGUACAGGGUGUGUAGGCGGUUUGGUAAGCCUUCUGUUAAAGCUUCGGGCCCAACCCGGAAAGCGCAGAGGGUACUGCCAGGCUAGAGGACGGGAGAGGAGCGCGGAAUUCCCGGUGUAGCGGUGAAAUGCGUAGAGAUCGGGAGGAAGGCCGGUGGCGAAGGCGGCGCUCUGGAACGUUACUGACGCUGAGACACGAAAGCGUGGGGA